Molecule: ribosomal RNA, 2685 nt
Filed under: Ahnfeltia plicata
Lineage: Eukaryota; Rhodophyta; Florideophyceae; Ahnfeltiales; Ahnfeltiaceae
Description: LSU rRNA
Rfam family: Eukaryotic large subunit ribosomal RNA
Source: RNAcentral
AAAAGAAACUAACAAGGAUUCCCCUAGUAGCGGCGAGCGAAGCGGGAAGAGCCCGGGAUGAAAAGCUCUUCGGAGCGUUGUAGUCGAGCGGCCUCGGGGCGUCAGUGUGGGCAAGUCGCAUGGAAUUGCGCGCCGCGGAGGGUGAGAGCCCCGUCCACCCCACACAGGACCUACCCGCACGGGGCCGUUUCACCCGAGUCGGGUAGCUUGGGAAUGCUGCUCUAAUUGGUGGUAAAUCUCAUCAAAGGCUAAAUAGUGGCGGGAGACCGAUAGCGAACAAGUACCGUGAGGGAAAGAUGACAAGCACUUUGAAAAGAGGGUGAAAAGCACCUGAAACCGUCACGGGGGAAGCGGAUUGCGUGAGUGUUGGGUGCACGUGCUCAGCAUCUCUCUUUUGGGGGGGUGUGUAUUCACGUGCGCCUGCGCCGGCGUGGCUGCGUGCUGGUGGAUUUUGCACCGGCGCGUGGUGAGGGCUCCUGCUUGUCAGUGAGGACGCCGGCGAAAUGACGCAAUACGACCCGUCUUGAAACACGGACCAAGGAGUCUAGCGCGGCUGCGAGUCGAAGGGUGGCAAACCCAAGGGCGCAGUGAAAGCGAAUUUUGUGCAGAACGAAAACAGUUUGGGGCGGCAUAGCGACGUUGUCAACAUGUCCGACCCGGAGCAUGCGCGCUGGGACCCGAAAGAUGGUGAACUAUGCCGGAGUAGGGCAAAGCCAGAGGAAACUCUGGUGGAGGCUCGUAGCGAUGCUGACGUGCAAAUCGCUCGUCAAACUUGGGUAUAGGGGCGAAAGACUAAUCGAACCAUCUAGUAGCUGGUUCCCUCCGAAGUUUCUCUCAGGAUAGCGGGCCGACGAAGUGUUGUUUUGUGCGGUAAAGCGAAUGAUUAGCGCACUCGGGGGCGCAAUGCCUCUGGGCGAUUCUCAAACUUUCAAUGCGCAAGGGCGUCGCUGCUUGGAUGAGCGGCGCCGGUAAAAACGUCGGCCCUGUGGGCCACUUUUGGUAAGCAGAACUGGCGAUACGGGAUGAACCGUAAGCGCGGUUAAGGCGCCGGAUUGCUCGCUUAGAGAACCCACAAAAGGUGGUGAUUCAUCCAGACAGCAGGACGGUGGCCAUGGAAGUCGGAAUCCGCCAAGGAGWGUGUAACAACUCACCUGCCGAAUGAAUUAGCCCUGAAAAUGGAUGGCGCUGAAGCGGGCGUCUGACACCGCGCCGUCGUUUUUAUUUUUUUAAGAAGACGAUGAGUAGGAGGGCGUGACGGUCGUGACGCAGGCAGGGGUGCAGACCCCGCUGAAACGGCCGCUAGUGCAGAUCUUGGUGGUAGUAGCAAAUAUUCAAGCGAGAACCUUGAAGGGCGACGCGGGGAAGGGUUCCACGCGAACAUUGAUUGGGCGUGGGUGAGUCGUUCCUAAGCCGAGUGGCGAUUGCUAAGUAGCGGCGAAAGGGAAGCGGGUUGAUAUUCCCGCACACGGAUGUGGAGGCGGCGACGCAAACUGAGGCGAACACGCUGGCGACGGCGCUGGGCAGAGUUGUCUUUUCUGUUUGACCGCAUGCCGCGCGGUGUGGAAUCCGCUUGUCGGGAGAAACACGCGCGCAGGGGCAGAGCCGGUCGUUUCUUGGCCGGUCCAGCUCGCCGUCGACGGCCCUUGAAACUUUGCCUGCGAUAUAAUUUCACGCCGUGGCGUACCGAUUUCCGCAUCAGGUCCCCAAGGUGAACAGCCUCUGCUCAGUAUGAACAAUGCAGGUAAGGGAAGUCGGCAUAUUGGACCCGUAACUUUGGGAAAAGGGUUGGCUCUAGUGUGGCGUGGGAAUGGGGGCUGUUGGUGGGGCGUCGGGCGGAUGGAGGUGUUAUUGGCGUAAAAACCGGUGACCCACUGUCUGCUCUUCUUCCCCCUUCAGCCCCGCCCACAGCAUGCCACAGACUAGAACUGCAACGGGCAAAGGGAAUCCGACUGUUUAAUUAAAACAAAGCAUUGCGAAGGCCGUGGCCGGUGAUGACGCAAUGUGAUUUCUGCUCAGUGCUCUGAAUGUCAAAGUGAAGAGAUUCAAUCAAGCGCGGGUAAACAGCGGGAGUAACUAUGACUCUCUUAAGGUAGCCAAAUGCCUCGUCAUCUAAUUAGUGACGCGCAUGAAUGGAUUAACGAGAUUCCUACUGUCCCUAUCUGCUUCUAGCGAAACCACAGCCGAGGGAACGGGCUCGGCGGAAUCGGCGGGGAAAGAAGACCCUGUUGAGCUUGACUCUAUUCUAACUUUGUGAAGCAAGUUGGGAGGUGUAGCAUAGGUGGGAGGUUUCGGCCGUCCGUGAAAUACCACUACUCCCAGUCUUGCUUUACUUAUGGCGUGGGGCUGUGCGACCGAAAGGUCUGUUUUAGCACCAAGCGCGACUUUUUUGUCGCGCGAACAGCGCGCCCAACAGAUUUAGGAGGGGAGUUUGGCUGGGGCGGUACAUGGCCUACAAGACAACGGUCGUGUCCAAAGAUGAGCUCAGUGAGAACAGAAAUCUCACGUAGCGCAAAAGGGUAAAAGCUCGUUUGAUUUCGAUUUUCAGUGCGAGUUGAAAACGCGAAAGCGUGGCCUAUCGAUCCUUUUGAGUUUCGAGAUUUGAAGCAAGAGGUGUCAGAAAAGUUACCACAGGGAUAACUGGCUUGUGGCGGCCAAGCGUUCAUAGCGACGUCGCUUUUUGAUCCU